UAGGCCUUGAGAUUUGUCACUGUGCUCA
RNAcentral lists this non-coding RNA (28 nucleotides) under Mus musculus (house mouse). Lineage: Eukaryota; Metazoa; Chordata; Mammalia; Rodentia; Muridae. The record is from RNAcentral.